CGAAGGGUGCAAGCGUUAUCCGGAUUCAUUGGGUUUAGAGGGUGCGUAGGUGGGGCGAUAAGUCAGUGGUGAAAUCCUGCAGCUCAACUGUAGAAUUGCCAUUGAUACUGCCGCCCUUGAGUACGCUUGACGUGGGCGGAAUGUGCCGUGUAGCGGUGAAAUGCCUAGAUAUGGCACAGAACACCGAUAGUGAAGACAGCUCACGAAGGCGAAACUGACACUGAGGCACGAAAGCGUGGGGAUCGAACAGGAUUAGAUACCCUGGUAGUCCACGCCGCAAACGAUGAUCACUCGUGAUUGGCGAUAUACGGUCAGUCACCUAGCGAAAGCGUUAAGUGAUCCACCUGGGGAGUACGAUCGCAAGAUCG
This 368-nucleotide ribosomal RNA is filed under the name uncultured organism. RNAcentral's name for it is "bacterial SSU rRNA". It matches the Rfam family "Bacterial small subunit ribosomal RNA", at positions 526 to 896 of the family's 1533-position model. The record is from RNAcentral.